UAGGUGGCAAGCGUUGUCCGGAUUUAUUGGGCGUAAAGCGAGAGCAGGCGGUUCUUUAAGUCUGAUGUGAAAGCCCACGGCUCAACCGUGGAGGGUCAUUGGAAACUGAAGAACUUGAGUGCAGAAGGGGAGAGUGGAAUUCCAUGUGUAGCGGUGGAAUGCGUAGAUAUAUGGAGGAACACCAGUGGCGAAGGCGACUCUCUGGUCUGUAACUGACGCUGAGUCUCGAAAGCGUGGGGAGCA
RNAcentral lists this ribosomal RNA (243 nucleotides) under uncultured bacterium. RNAcentral's name for it is "partial 16S ribosomal RNA". It matches the Rfam family "Bacterial small subunit ribosomal RNA", at positions 528 to 770 of the family's 1533-position model. The record is from RNAcentral.